CGCACCCUGAGGUAUUUGCCAGUCUGCAUGUCCUUGAGCCGAUACUACCGCUUUGGGGGCUACCAACCCUAUUUGUGUGCAUGCCCGGUACUACCGGGAAGCCUUUGAUAUGGCCGGUGCCACCACCUUGAACCUUUCGGUUCAAGGCCGCUAUGACAGCGGUACCCUGGGGUGCUC
Molecule: non-coding RNA, 177 nt
Filed under: Pseudomonadales bacterium
Lineage: Bacteria; Pseudomonadati; Pseudomonadota; Gammaproteobacteria; Pseudomonadales
Also listed under: 1 other name
Description: 6S RNA
Rfam family: 6S / SsrS RNA
About the family: E. coli 6S RNA was the first non coding RNA to be sequenced, but its function was unknown until recently.
Source: RNAcentral